GAUGAACGCUAGCGGCAGGCCUAAUACAUGCAAGUCGAGGGGCAUCUCCCGCAGCAAUGCGGGAAGCGACCGGCGCACGGGUGCGUAACGCGUAUGUAACCUGCCCUCAGCAGGGGGAUAGCCCGUGGAAACAUGGAUUAAUACCCCAUAAAGCAGGGGUGUCACAUGGCACUAUUUGCUAAAGCUCCGGCGGCUGAGGAGGGGCAUGCGUCUGAUUAGCUAGUUGGUAGGGUAACAGCCUACCAAGGCAACGAUCAGUAGGGGAUCUGAGAGGAUGAUCCCCCACACUGGUACUGAGAUACGGACCAGACUCCUACGGGAGGCAGCAGUAGGGAAUAUUGGGCAAUGGGCGCAAGCCUGACCCAGCCAUGCCGCGUGCAGGAUGAAGGCCUUCUGGGUUGUAAACUGCUUUUCUACAGGAAGAAACGUUCCCUGCGGGGAAAAUCGACGGUACUGUAGGAAUAAGCACCGGCUAACUCCGUGCCAGCAGCCGCGGUAAUACGGAGGGUGCAAGCGUUGUCCGGAUUUACUGGGUUUAAAGGGUGCGUAGGCGGAGGAUUAAGUCAGUGGUGAAAGCCUGCGGCUUAACCGCAGAAGUGCCAUUGAUACUG
Molecule: ribosomal RNA, 611 nt
Filed under: uncultured bacterium
Lineage: Bacteria
Description: bacterial SSU rRNA
Rfam family: Bacterial small subunit ribosomal RNA
Source: RNAcentral